AAGAGACAGCAGCAGCCGCGGUAAUACGUAGGGUGCGAGCGUUAAUCUGAAUUACUGGGCGUAAAGCGUGCGCAGGCGGUUCGUUAAGACAGAUGUGAAAUCCCCGGGCUUAACCUGGGAACUGCAUUUGUGACUGGCGAGCUAGAGUAUGGCAGAGGGGGGUAGAAUUCCACGUGUAGCAGUGAAAUGCGUAGAGAUGUGGAGGAAUACCGAUGGCGAAGGCAGCCCCCUGGGCCAAUACUGACGCUCAUGCACGAAAGCGUGGGGAGCAAACAGGAUUAGAUACCCGCGUAGUCCCUGUCUCUUAUAC
This 310-nucleotide ribosomal RNA is filed under the name uncultured bacterium. Its description in RNAcentral is "partial 16S ribosomal RNA". It matches the Rfam family "Bacterial small subunit ribosomal RNA", at positions 503 to 807 of the family's 1533-position model. The record is from RNAcentral.